Non-coding RNA from Brachypodium distachyon (stiff brome), 189 nucleotides. NCBI's taxonomy places the organism in Eukaryota, Viridiplantae, Streptophyta, Magnoliopsida, Poales, Poaceae. The record is from RefSeq and is marked provisional.
CAAACAAUUGAGCAUCCACCCAACUGAAAUAUUUAAAAAUAAUUGGAGCAACUAAAGCUAUCAAGAUUGGAUCCAGUUAUGAUAGCUGCUAUACGGAGGGGAGAGGAAAAGGGAGUCCAAAACACAAGGAAAGUGUUGUUUCAGUUAUUUUUAGAUAUUUCAGGUUGUGUGGAUAGCGAAUUGGUGGAA